Molecule: ribosomal RNA, 500 nt
Filed under: uncultured bacterium
Lineage: Bacteria
Description: partial 16S ribosomal RNA
Rfam family: Bacterial small subunit ribosomal RNA
Source: RNAcentral
AUUGAACGCUGGCGGAAUGCUUUACACAUGCAAGUCGAACGGCAGCACGGACUUCGGUCUGGUGGCGAGUGGCGCACGGGUGAGUAAUACAUCGGAACGUGCCCAGUCGUGGGGGAUAACGUAGCGAAAGCUACGCUAAUACCGCAUACGAUCUACGGAGGAAAGCGGGGGAUCGCAAGACCUCGCGCGAUUGGAGCGGCCGAUGGCAGAUUAGGUAGUUGGUAGGGUAAAGGCCUACCAAGCCGACGAUCUGUAGCUGGUCUGAGAGGAUGAUCAGCCACACUGGGACUGAGACACGGCCCAGACUCCUACGGGAGGCAGCAGAGGGGAAUUUUGGACAAUGGGCGCAAGCCUGAUCCAGCCAUUCCGCGUGCAGGAUGAAGGCCUUCGGGUUGUAAACUGCUUUUGUACAGAACGAAAAGGCUCUGGUUAAUACCUGGGGCUCAUGACGGUACUGUAAGAAUAAGCACCGGCUAACUACGUGCCAGCAGCCGCCGUAA